This 309-nucleotide small nuclear RNA is filed under the name Castor canadensis (American beaver). Its description in RNAcentral is "7SK RNA (ENSCCNG00000025747.1)". It matches the Rfam family "7SK RNA". Rfam says of the family: 7SK was discovered as an abundant small nuclear RNA in the mid-70s but a possible function has only recently been suggested. Lineage: Eukaryota; Metazoa; Chordata; Mammalia; Rodentia; Castoridae. The record is from Rfam by way of RNAcentral.
AGUUGUGAGGGUGAUCUGGCUGCGACAUCUGUCACCCCAUUGAUAACCAGGGUUGAUUUGGCUGAUCUGGCUGGCUAGGCGUGUGUCCCCUUCCUCCCUCACCACUCCAUGUGUGUCCCCCCAACAAAGCUGCAGCUCAAUGGAGGAGGACGACCAUGACCAAUACAGGAGGACUGUUCUUUGGUCAAGGGUAUAGAAGUAGCUGAAAUCCCCUGAUAGAACCUCCAAACAAGCUCUCAAGAAUAUGAAAUUAUGACAUUUUAACCAAUGUAUCUUUGCUCAUUUUCUGAUACAUGCCAGAUGUUUAGA